UUUUCCGAAAAUCCAACACUUAGUAAAUAUAUUCUAGACAAAAGUUUACUAGAACAUUGAAUGAACAAAUAUCCCAACAUGUCAUAUGAUUAAGUUAAAACAUUAACUAUUUUAACAAAUAAUUACCACACGGAACAAUAUAAGUAACGUGACCCAAAAUACUAAACUCUAAGCCAAGGCACGACCCGCUCGUCUAAUAGACAUUAGUACGUUGUAGGUUGUCGUGUAGCGGACAGGGUUUGAGAUUCGAUUCAAGACGCACUACGGUGAGUACAUAGACCCCUCUCUUACUGUUUUCCAAUGUUUUGGGGUGAAACACAUGUGCCUACUUGUUACUUUCAUGCUUUCCUAUUUUCAUGUCAUAUACUUGCUAUAGGAUACCAUGCCGAAAUUUUUCCGAAAAUCCAACACUUAGUAAAUAUAUUCUAGACAAAAGUUUACUA
Molecule: long non-coding RNA, 443 nt
Filed under: Helianthus annuus (common sunflower)
Lineage: Eukaryota; Viridiplantae; Streptophyta; Magnoliopsida; Asterales; Asteraceae
Source: RNAcentral